Molecule: long non-coding RNA, 2220 nt
Organism: Homo sapiens (human)
Lineage: Eukaryota; Metazoa; Chordata; Mammalia; Primates; Hominidae
Product: long intergenic non-protein coding RNA 539
Source: Ensembl
GAAGCUGUUUUUCUGAGUAGUGAGUAAUUAAACAAUAAAUAGUCUCUUGAAUGGAGUAGACAUGCCUUUCUCCAGAACCCUACCCAUUCUGUACUGCAAAUCUAUUAGGGUUUGUCCAAGAUUUCCUAUAGCAUCCUUUCCUACCAUGGAUACCCCGAGCACUGUUGGAUCUGUUGAAUUAUAUGGCCUCAACAGCAGAGUAUGUUGUCCUGAAGCCUAGAAUUUCUUCAGUUUUCUUAUGCUUUGGGUUCCACUCAAAACUGGUAGACUUCUAAUGACCCAAGAAAUGAGUCAAAGAAAUAAUCUCAAGUGCAAUAUUGGCUGCCUCCUAAAAUCCAAAGUCGCCCACCAAACCAUAUAACUUUUCAUAGGGGUAAUUGUUUACCUUAGGAUGCUGCAAACCAUGGGACUCCUAAAAUCUUCAUCAAUAUGGCAGGACUUUGAUACUGUAAAUGAUUUAUGUUUCACCUUCAUGUGUUUUACUAUGACAUCCAGAGUACCGGCCACUUUCUGUUCACCAAGUCCAAUUAGCAUAAUGUCAACAACAUAGUAUACCAGCAUGAUAUGUCAAGGUGACAGAGAGAAAGAGAAUACAUAUAGCCUUGGGGAAAGACAGUGAAUGUGUACUCAAAUCCUUUCUUAAUGAGACAGAACUGAUCUUGACCAUCCUUCCUGAGGAGGUUGGAAGAUGACUUGUUUGCCAGAUGGAUAGCCACAACCCAGGAACCAAAGGCUGUGCUGCUCUGUUCCAGUAAAGAUACCACAUCCAAUUAGGUAGCUACAUACAAUUGGGACGCAACUUAGAUAACGUUCCGGUAGUCUGCUGUUAUUCACGAAAAUCCAUCUGUUUUUUGCAGAGACCAUGUAGAUGGAUUGAAUGGGGAUAUGAUGAGGAUGACCACCCCUGCAUUUGCUAAGUUCUUGGGAGUGGCAUCGAUCUCAGCCAUUCCACUGGAAUAGGGUCAGGAAACAAAACGUGAGGGCUCUACCAGCUGCUCAGUCUAUCCUUUCCAAUUGAGCACACUGGAACUGAGGAAGCAAAGACAGGGUGAGCCCUAACACCCUCAUCAUCACUGCUGAGCCUGCCUUGACAAGAACUCCAUUUAUCACCCGCCUCCAUAAUAGCCCAUUCUAACUAGCUGUCAUCGUGGCAUUUCAGGUUCUGCUGAUGUCAUUGUAAGAAAUGCCCUAUGUGUACAGGACCCUGGCUGGCACGUUGGCCUUGCUGCCAUAUGGUAGUCAUAUUCACUUUGUGGUAGUCAUAUUCACUUUGAUGGCAAAUGCUGCGACUUGGCCUCUGCUACUCCAAAAUAUCUUCAUCUUCAGUAAUAUUAGAGAGAUAAUGGACCUUAACUAGUGGGCUGAAGGCAAUGAGGGGAUGUGAGGAUGCAUCUUGUGAAGGACAAAAGUCAUCCUGUAAGGAUUCAUGAGACCUGAGCAGCCAGCCAGCCCUGAAAUGGUUGGAACAGGAGAAAGAAGAAGAGCUCGACAGAUACCCUGCCUGGGCUGGCAGCUAGCUGCACCACAAGCUGGCCAGCUGACAGCGGGCACAUCCCUUCAUCACCCAGUGCCUUUCUUCCCUCUUGUGAAAAUGGAGAUAUGCUGAGAAGGUUACUUCAGCUCAUCCAGAGAAAGCUUCUUCAGCUAACUAGGCUGUAGAAAGGGCCUACAGCCUAAAUUUUCAAAAACAAGUUAAUGCCAGAAUAUAAACUCCGUGAAGUAACAGAUUGUGUCGGUUUCAUUCCUGCAUAGUCGGCUCCUUCAGGCUGAUAGAAAAUCCUGCUUCCUGGAAAUGAGCAAAUAGAAGAGAUAUCUGCAUUUCCAUGGUUGUUGCAGCUCUGUUCACAACAUCCAAGAUUAGGAAGCAACCCAAGUGUCCAUGAACAGAUGAAUGGACAAAGAAAAUGUGGUACUUACAAUAGAGUGCCAUUCAGCUAUAAAAAAAGAAUGAGAUUAUGGCCAGGCAUGGUGGCUCACACCUGUAAUCCCAGCACUUUGGGAGGCAGAGGCGGGUGGAUCACGAGGUCAAGAGAUCGAGACCAUCCUGGAAAACAUGGUGAAACCCUGUCUCUACUAAAAAUGCAAAAAAAUUAGUUGGGCAUGGUGGCGCAUGUCUGUAAUCCCAGCUACUCGGGAGGCUGAGACAGGGGAACUGCUUGGAACUCAGGAGAUGGAGGUUGAGCUGGGACUGCACCAUUGUACUCUAGCCUGGGCAACAAG